UACAGAGGUCUCAAGCGUUGUUCGGAUUCAUUGGACGUAAAGGGUGCGUAGGUGGCGAGGUUAGUCAGGUGUGAAAUCUCGGGGCUCAACCCCGAAACUGCACUUGAUACUGCCUUGCUAGAGUACUGGAGAGGAGAUUGGAAUUUACGGUGUAGCAGUGAAAUGCGUAGAUAUCGUAAGGAAGACCAGUGGCGAAGGCGAAUCUCUGGACAGUUACUGACACUGAGGCACGAAGGCCAGGGGAGCAAACGGG
Molecule: ribosomal RNA, 253 nt
Filed under: uncultured bacterium
Lineage: Bacteria
Description: partial 16S ribosomal RNA
Rfam family: Bacterial small subunit ribosomal RNA
Source: RNAcentral